GGAAGGUAUUGGUGUGAGAGCUGAGGAUCUCCCCAUCCCCUCCCCUUAAACGGAAACAAAUGACUCCGAUGGUGUCAGCUCUUACUGUAAUCUUAUCAACACUUUCUCUCUUCGCUGACGCCAACAACAACCACAACAUAAACUCUUUCCUACUUUCUCUCUCUUCCCUGCUCAUGCCAUUAAUGGUACGGUCGGCAAGGAAGAAGGUGUAGGCCCGUUUCCUUUGUGCUCAAGGUUGCCCACAAGGGAAAAAGGAGGACAUUGAGCUGUAAUAAUUGCGUGUAAGAGGGAGAGAAGAAGAAGAGAAGGCCGGAAAAGGAAAGUGGGGUUGCAGGAGAGCAUAGGGUGCAUGUGCUGGGAGAUCUAAGAGCCGAGCUCUGAAUCAUCCAUUAAUAAUGAAGAGCUAAUGAAGGGACGGAGAUCGAGAGUUGUUUGCUGGGUUUUAAGAAGAGAAGGGGAGAGCUUGGCUUUAGGGUUUCGGUGCGGCUGUUUUCCGCUUCAGUAAGCCUGCUUACCACGUUGUUUUACAAGGAAAGUUAUGCAGGUGGUCAAAAAGAAGGCCGGCUUGAUUCUUGCUUUCUUCUCUA
Molecule: long non-coding RNA, 587 nt
Organism: Dendrobium catenatum
Lineage: Eukaryota; Viridiplantae; Streptophyta; Magnoliopsida; Asparagales; Orchidaceae
Exons: 2
Source: RefSeq, a predicted model, not a curated record